GUGAAACGCCAGCGAACACUGCUUGAAAAAGCUAACUAGCGAAGCAAACAACUGUAAUGCAUGCAACAGCCGUCAACAACAGGAUUCCCACGGGGACGAAUGGUCUAAGUUACUUAUAUUGCUAAAAAAUUCAGCCUGCUUUUCUCAAGGGACAGAUGCAGAAUGUCGGGAGAAGGCAAUUUUUGUAUGUCGUCGUCGUCGUCAUUCAUGUAUUCAAGCACUGUUCGACGUACCGCAGUGGGCACAUUAUUCAAUAUCGAAAACACCGAAGGGGGGCAGACCUGUAUCAACCUGUUGAACUAAACGCUUCGUAGUUUCGUGUGGCGCACGGUACCCGACUAUGCAGAGGGUCUAAAAGUGCUGCCAUGACGGGUUUAUUCAUGCUUCACGAUAUCUAAUACCUUAGCAUAUACCAUCUAGAACAGUAAAAAAAGCAUUUAG
Molecule: long non-coding RNA, 441 nt
Organism: Varroa destructor (honeybee mite)
Lineage: Eukaryota; Metazoa; Arthropoda; Arachnida; Mesostigmata; Varroidae
Source: RefSeq, a predicted model, not a curated record